Molecule: long non-coding RNA, 1860 nt
Filed under: Homo sapiens (human)
Lineage: Eukaryota; Metazoa; Chordata; Mammalia; Primates; Hominidae
Description: HSALNT0344415
Source: RNAcentral
GGUAGAAGGAGUAGAGAAGAGAUUGCUGUGGCUGGGAGGGCCGGGGAAGGCCUCUAGGAAGAACAGGAAACCAAGAUGGCCCCUGAAGGGUGACUGGGAUUUCGAUAAGUUGGAGAGGAGCAGCAAGGAAAGUUGGGAUCAGGACCCACAUGAACUCGGCAUAAACACCAGCUCACAUGGGCUGCGGUGUGGGGGAGCCAGCUGAAGGACAUGGCAACAGGUUCUCUCCUAUGGGACGACCUUGGAAAUGAGAAGGGGAAGGCAUAUGAAAGGAAGAGUCAGAGGUGGUGGAUUCUUCUUAUUAAUUGUUCCAAAGAGGGGUUGAGACCGUGAAGAGCAGCACAUGGGGCUCCGGGAGGGCUGGGAGCCGGGAGAAAUAGAAAGCUGUGCUGCAGCUUGCUCUGGCAGGUGGGAAGGAUGCCAGGAAUGGGUGACAGUCAGCUGAGAUGCUCUCAAGGGAGCUGUGCCUGCCUCUGGUCAUCCCAGUCCCUCCCGGUCAGCACCUUUGCCAUUCUGCUUAAAUUCUGCUUUUAAGAAUAGCAAAAUUCUUAAAAGAAAAAAAAACCAACUAGAGGUGAAAUCAAGCUGCACUGCGAAUCUGACUGUUAAGAAUUUCAAAGACCCAGAGAAAAUGUUACUGUGUGCCUUUCUAGUGGUCACAGGCUGACCACCCUCCGUGAAUAUGGGAUUCUUCCUUGGCCUUAAAGAAGUGGAGAAGGGCAUCUUUUUCAUACACCUCAGGGGAAAAAUCACCAAACCCUCAAACAAAACAAAUCUUCCUCAUUUCUAUUAUCUUGAAACAUUAGCUUAUUACUUUCUGGCAUUCACACAAGUCACUGAAAACUAUUGCAGAAGACUGAAACUGUUUAAAGCCACUUUCAAUAAAAGUUCACUUAGCAAAACUUAAAUAUGACAGACAAUUCCUCAUGGCCCAUUCCAAGCACAUAGACGCUGUCCAGUGACAGGGGCCAGGGUAUUAAGUGGGAUUAAGGGUCUUAAUUACACUAAAGAUGUAAAAACGAUUCAUGGUUGGACAUUAAAUAGGAGGAUUGGAGUGACAUGGCACUCUCUCCAUCCCACGGGAAGAAUUCACUGGGGAGAUCGAGAAACUUACUGGAAUCUCUGGGCUUCUGAACUGGGGUGUCAGGUUAGUUAGUGCCAUGACUCUCAAAUCCUGAAGGCGCUUUUCACCAGGCACAGUGAGGCAGAGGCCACCCCAGCUUACCGCAGGAGUCACCACAGCCAAAGCCUGAUUAGUGGGAAUGCGAUUUAUCAGAAGUCCAAAGUCCAAACUACAUUUUUCCCAGCUCUGAAAUGACUAAGAGGCUGGUGCUACAAAAUAUUGUAUCUAAAGAAUACGAUGCAGCCACUCUUUCCAGCUCAGCCUUCCCUUCUGUAUGUCAGGGCACAAGUCCCUCCUGGUCUUGGGACUAACAGGGAAUAGGUGGAAGGACCAACCUCUGAACCUGUCUGUCGGCUUCCCACUCUUCCCUUCCGCUUCUCCCUCCAGAGAAGCCUGCCAUAAAACUGGGGAGAAGACACAUGGAUAAACCAAGAGCAAUGGAGAGAUGCAAUGAGGAGACGGUGAGCAGCAAGUUCUCAGCUGGUUGACUUCCAGGACUCACUGUUCUCUGCAUCACCUGAGAAAUUCCUGAGCAAGCUGGCGACCCAGGGCUCUGGCAUUUGGAAUGAGGGACUGGUGGAGGCCAGGGCAGCAGAGUUUACUGAGAUGACAGUACCUGAGGACAAGAUUAGAGGCAGAAACAGCGUGAUCCAAGAGCAUGUUCUCUUGAGGCAUUUCCCGCUUCAGGAACCCUGAGUUAUCCACGACAAGGGAAGAUGGGAUUUUCUAUAGAAGAA